This 608-nucleotide long non-coding RNA is filed under the name Nicotiana benthamiana. RNAcentral's name for it is "long non-coding RNA (NBEN_LNC020051)". Lineage: Eukaryota; Viridiplantae; Streptophyta; Magnoliopsida; Solanales; Solanaceae. The record is from RNAcentral.
AUGAACCCAUAUGGAGUAGCAUGUGCCUUAGAGCCAUUCAUUACCGUGUCUAGUAAUUUGACAAUGAAAACAUACCAGUUGAUUUGCAUUCCUCGCUCAAGGCACUCCAUAAGAACCAGGUCCAUGUAAUUUGCAGUGUGUCUUCUCUCUUGUCUGGGCAAGAGGCACUUGUUGACAAAUUCAAACAAGACCUUGUGUUCAUGUCUCAUUUCACUCUUCUGCACAAAUCUGGUUGUAGGCACAUCUUCAGAAUCAAAAAAUCAUUUAGUGAUUUCAACAACAGUGGUAAGAGAAUCCAGACAUGACCACCUUUGCCUUGUAUAAUCAUCAUACCCUUCAGUAGGUAUGUCCAGAAUCUCACCCAGUUUGAGUGCAUCAAACUUUACUUUCACUCCUUUCACCAGGCUGGUGACUACUUCAUCCUUCAUAGCAGAAUUUGCCAUAAAUUCAAUCAGCUCAUUCCUGGCCAGCCUCCCAUCAUUUUAAGGACCAUGUCCUUCCAACUUUGUGCAGCUAAAGCAUCCACCAGUCUUAUCAUCCCUGGCUUAACCAGGUCCUUCAACAAUCUUCCUUUCAGAAUUUUUCUUUUGCCAAAGAUGGCAAGCUUA